This 253-nucleotide ribosomal RNA is filed under the name uncultured bacterium. RNAcentral's name for it is "partial 16S ribosomal RNA". It matches the Rfam family "Bacterial small subunit ribosomal RNA", at positions 524 to 776 of the family's 1533-position model. The record is from RNAcentral.
UACGAAGGAUGCAAGCGUUAUCCGGAUUCACUGGGUUUAAAGGGUGUGCAGGUGGGAUAAUAAGUCAGUGGUGAAAGCCCCCGACUCAAUCGGGGAACUGCCAUCGAUACUGUUAUUCUUGAGUGUGGUUGAGGCGGAUGGAAUAUGACAUGUAGCGGUGAAAUGCUUAGAUAUGUCAUAGAACACCGAUCGCGAAGGCAGUCCGCCAAACCAUUACUGACACUGAAACACGAAAGUGCGGGGAUCAAACAGG